CACGUAGGGGGCGAGCGUUGUCCGGAUUUAUUGGGCGUAAAGAGCUCGUAGGCGGUUCGGUAAGUCGGGUGUGAAAUCUCCACGCUCAACGUGGAGGGGCCACUCGAUACUGCCGUGACUCGAGUCCGGUAGAGGAGUGUGGAAUUCCCGGUGUAGCGGUGAAAUGCGCAGAUAUCAGGAGGAACACCGGUGGCGAAGGCGGGUCUCUGGGCCGAUACUGACGCUGAGGAGCGAAAGCGUGGGGAGCGAACAGG
RNAcentral lists this ribosomal RNA (254 nucleotides) under uncultured bacterium. RNAcentral describes it as "partial 16S ribosomal RNA". It matches the Rfam family "Bacterial small subunit ribosomal RNA", at positions 524 to 776 of the family's 1533-position model. The record is from RNAcentral.